CUCAGAAUAACCUAAGAUGCCUGCCAUCAUCUCCUUCAAGCCUUACACUUCACCGCCGCAGGCCACCCACCGGAAAUCGCCAGCGGUGGCGGUUGGUCCCAAAGUCCAUCGAAAACUUGACCACGCAACCUCUUUUGUCCCCCAUUCCAAAUCUACUAUUAUCUUCCUCCAAAAAUCAUCCAACCUCUCCGAAUUUCAAAUCCGAGUUUGAAGAACAUCCAACAUUUUUGUUUUCUUUUUCCUUUCUGAUUCCUUCCUCAUCCGACCUCCCUUCGACGUUGGAAAAUUCAUGAAUCUACUACCCUUAUUGUGAGGAGGUGAUUAAAUAUGGUCCUAAUUGGGUUCAGAAUGGCCGGAUUUUGGGCGAGCAAGUAAUCGACUUGCUUCUAACUUUCUUCGGGUCAACGUUUUUUCUUGACAAACUGGCUGAUAUGUAUGUUGAACAUCUCUUGGCUAUCGAAUCCUGAACAAGAAGCCUUGGAUCAUUUGCCUCUUCAUUCUAAAAUGUCAUAUUGACUAUGUGGAUUGACUUCAAUAUUUUGAUUUUGUUCUUGUUUUCCUUACUUUGUGUUUCUAUAUUUCCUUUUAGCUAGAUAGAAUCUAGGUUUGAAUGUAUGUGGUAAUUAUCCCAUUUUAUGUAGGAUUGAAUGUUGUAAGGAUUUUUGAAGUUUAGCUUGAUUACAUGAUUGUUAAAGGGUGAUGGCCAAAUAUGAACUGCACGUUGAUGUUUUUUGGGGAAUUACAUGAGUAUAUGGGUUUCAUUUUCUCAGGGAUUUGAUGUAAAGCUCCUUUUUAAAUUAAUGUCCUGUCAGUCAUGAGUAUCA
Molecule: long non-coding RNA, 824 nt
Organism: Nicotiana tabacum (common tobacco)
Lineage: Eukaryota; Viridiplantae; Streptophyta; Magnoliopsida; Solanales; Solanaceae
Source: RefSeq, a predicted model, not a curated record